Molecule: non-coding RNA, 786 nt
Organism: Pelobates cultripes (western spadefoot toad)
Lineage: Eukaryota; Metazoa; Chordata; Amphibia; Anura; Pelobatidae
Source: the annotation of a GenBank genome assembly
UGGAAACGGCGAGACCCCGGUGCAGCUGUAUCUCUGGAAGUGGGGUCUGCAGUGCUGAUGGUGUCGGUUAGAGUGCUUGGAGUCCUCGGCAAGUGCUAGGAGCAUCGAUUGGUGGAGGUACUCAGUCGGAGUGCCAGCGUUCCGUCACAUUUGGUGACAGCGGCGGAAUGGCAUCCUAGUGCGAGGACCAGCAGCUCGGAGACACCGGUAACGUGUGGCGUUACGGAUUUAUAAUUGAGGGCAACGCUAGCCUCUACGCAGCGUCCCUAUCCACAGCAACAUGGAAGAGGAGUUUCGCUGGAGGUUGCAGCAGCACUUGGCCCAACAGGACGGGCUUGUAUCAGAGGAGUGCAUACUGGACUGGAGAGAUGUCACUCGUACGGAGAUGUGGUACGAUGCCCUGGAAAAGGUACAGCGGCGUCGGGGAGAGAGCCUUCCCAGUGACGAGCAGCGGUUCAAGGUACUCGUGGCCCUGCGCUCCCCUUUCCUAGGGGAGCAACCCUUGGAUGAAUGGUUGUUGGAACUCUGGGAUUUAAUUUGGAAGGAGUUGUGGCUAGAUGCAGCUUACCGGGCAUUAAAGUGGUACGCCACCCCUGGAUGACUAACCACUAUCUGCCCGAGGGAGAGGAUUAUAAUGGCCCGGGCUUACUGUGGGAGGCCUUUGAGGAGGGCGAUGACUUUGGAUGCCCCACGGAGUUUCGGUUCUGGGACAUCCACAAUAUCAGGGAAACCCUGCUGGAUCUUCCCCGAGCGGACGACCUGGGGCCAGACCUGAUUCAUCUGGUC